UCGACAAGACAGAUUCAGUCAGUUAGGCACCCUAGCUGUACUGUGCUUCUGCAGAGUAUAUAAGCCAAAUGGGCAGAAGACAAAGUUAAAACUAAUAGAGAAGUGAUAUCCUGCAGAGUCUAUACAGAACCAUUGUGCCAAAUUACACCAAAAUCCAAGAAUGCUGGUGCGUGGCUUGCCUGGUGACUCACCUCUGCUACAGUACCUGACUUCGGUGAAGAGUUUCAAGUGCAAAUAAUCAGAGGUUACUGCAUACUGGGGAAUUCGCCAUCAGUCAUUAAUACCUUCACUUUACUUCUAUAAGGCUGCUAUUCUUCCCCUUUGCAAUCCUCCAACAUCUCUGUGGAAACUGCAAAUUAACAUGGGAAAUUAAUGUUUACAGUGUUGUGCUGUAGUUGUGUUGGCCCCAGGAUAUUAGAGAGACAAG
Molecule: long non-coding RNA, 427 nt
Organism: Chelonia mydas (Green sea turtle)
Lineage: Eukaryota; Metazoa; Chordata; Testudines; Cheloniidae
Exons: 4
Source: RefSeq, a predicted model, not a curated record